GAUGAAGAACGUAGCGAAAUGCGAUACUUGGUGUGAAUUGCAGAAUCCCGUGAACCAUCGAGUCUUUGAACGCAAGUUGCGCCUCAAGCCAUUAGGUUGAGGGCACGUCUGCCUGGGCGUCACAUAUCGUUGCCUGAUGCCAGUUUCCUCGUGAUGGGUGACUGUGCAGGGCGAAUGAUGGCUUCCCGUGAGCAUUGUUGCCUCAUGGUUGGUUGAAAAUUGAGUCCUUGGUAGGGAGCGCCGUGAUAGAUGGUGGUUGAGUGACGAACGAGACCCAAUCAUGCGAGACCCCUACCGAAUUUGGCCUUCAUGACCCACAUGCGUCUUUGGAACGCGCAUGACGAGACCUCAGGUCAGGCGGGGCUACCCGCUGAGUUUAAGCAUAUCAAUAAGCGGAGGA
This 400-nucleotide unclassified non-coding RNA is filed under the name soil metagenome. RNAcentral's name for it is "partial contains 5.8S ribosomal RNA, internal transcribed spacer 2, and large subunit ribosomal RNA". The stretch from base 1 to 122 matches the Rfam family "5.8S ribosomal RNA", at positions 35 to 154 of the family's 154-position model. The record is from RNAcentral.